Carlito syrichta (Philippine tarsier) is the source of this 420-nucleotide long non-coding RNA. RefSeq lists it as uncharacterized. NCBI's taxonomy places the organism in Eukaryota, Metazoa, Chordata, Mammalia, Primates, Tarsiidae. The transcript has 2 exons. The record is from RefSeq and is a predicted model, not a curated record.
GAAAUGUCGAUUUCUUCUUUUUCUGAAGCCUUCUCUGCUUCUUUGAGGAUGCUUUCCAGUUGGGCAAGUUCCUCUGACAUGUUGAUGACCUAAAACAAGAACACCCGGAAGGCUCUCUGCAUGUGGCUGGAACAAAAGAGCUCCUACUGGCUACCAGGCCACACCUGCAGAUCUCACUGGCCCGGGGCCAUCUGUUUGACAGCAUCUCUAAAGAAAAACAUGUUAAGCUUUUCUAGUGAGAAGCAGCCGGGGCCAGCCAUUGUCAAAGCCACCAGCAGCUUUCUUCACAUCAGCAAAGUGCAGCUGACAUCUAGCAUGGAAUCCACGCAUUACUCUCUAUUCCUACAAAAUGUUAAAACGUUGACACACUUAAUCAUCACUGAUCUUGUCCAGUUUCCAAGUAUACCCAUACAUUUGAAA